CGCUGGCGGCAGGCUUAACACAUGCAAGUCGAGCGGUAACAUUUCUAGCUUGCUAGAAGAUGACGAGCGGCGGACGGGUGAGUAAUACUUAGGAAUCUACCUAGUAGUGGGGGAUAGCUCGGGGAAACUCGAAUUAAUACCGCAUACGACCUACGGGAGAAAGGGGGCAACUUGUUGCUCUCGCUAUUAGAUGAGCCUAAGUCGGAUUAGCUAGAUGGUGGGGUAAAGGCCUACCAUGGCGACGAUCUGUAGCUGGUCUGAGAGGAUGAUCAGCCACACCGGGACUGAGACACGGCCCGGACUCCUACGGGAGGCAGCAGUGGGGAAUAUUGGACAAUGGGGGAAACCCUGAUCCAGCCAUGCCGCGUGUGUGAAGAAGGCCUUUUGGUUGUAAAGCACUUUAAGCAGUGAAGAAGACUCUUCGGUUAAUACCCGGAGACGAUGACAUUAGCUGCAGAAUAAGCACCGGCUAACUCUGUGCCAGCAGCCGCGGUAAUACAGAGGGUGCAAGCGUUAAUCGGAAUUACUGGGCGUAAAGCGAGCGUAGGUGGCUUGAUAAGUCAGAUGUGAAAUCCCCGGGCUUAACCUGGGAACUGCAUCUGAAACUGUCAGACUAGAGUAGGUGAGAGGGAGGUAGAAUUUCAGGUGUAGCGGUGAAAUGCGUAGAGAUCUGAAGGAAUACCGAUGGCGAAGGCAGCCUCCUGGCAUCAUACUGACACUGAGGCUCGAAAGCGUGGGUAGCAAACAGGAUUAGAUACCCUGGUAGUCCACGCCGUAAACGAUGUCUACUAGUCGUUGGGUCCCUUGAGGACUUAGUGACGCAGCUAACGCAAUAAGUAGACCGCCUGGGGAGUACGGCCGCAAGGUUAAAACUCAAAUGAAUUGACGGGGGCCCGCACAAGCGGUGGAGCAUGUGGUUUAAUUCGAUGCAACGCGAAGAACCUUACCUGGUCUUGACAUAUCUAGAAUCCUGCAGAGAUGCGGGAGUGCCUUCGGGAAUUAGAAUACAGGUGCUGCAUGGCUGUCCUCAGCUCGUGUCGUGAGAUGUUGGGUUAAGUCCCGCAACGAGCGCA
RNAcentral lists this ribosomal RNA (1073 nucleotides) under Psychrobacter alimentarius. Its description in RNAcentral is "bacterial SSU rRNA". It matches the Rfam family "Bacterial small subunit ribosomal RNA", at positions 34 to 1100 of the family's 1533-position model. Lineage: Bacteria; Pseudomonadati; Pseudomonadota; Gammaproteobacteria; Moraxellales; Moraxellaceae. The record is from RNAcentral.